AGCGAACGCUGGCGGCAGGCUUAACACAUGCAAGUCGAACGGUCCUUCGGGAUAGUGGCGGACGGGUGAGUAACACGUGGGAACGUACCCUUAGGUUCGGAACAACACAGGGAAACUUGUGCUAAUACCGGAUAAGCCCUUCGGGGGAAAGAUUUAUCGCCUUUGGAGCGGCCCGCGUCUGAUUAGCUUGUUGGGGAGGUAAUGGCUCACCAAGGCUACGAUCAGUAGCUGGUCUGAGAGGAUGGCCAGCCACACUGGGACUGAGACACGGCCCAGACUCCUACGGGAGGCAGCAGUGGGGAAUCUUGCGCAAUGGGCGAAAGCCUGACGCAGCCAUGCCGCGCGGAUGAUGAAGGUCUUAGGAUUGUAAAAUCCUUUCACCGGGGACGAUAAUGACGGUACCCGGAGAAGAAGCCCCGGCUAACUUCGUGCCAGCCGCCGCAGUAA
This 447-nucleotide ribosomal RNA is filed under the name uncultured bacterium. RNAcentral's name for it is "partial 16S ribosomal RNA". It matches the Rfam family "Bacterial small subunit ribosomal RNA", at positions 29 to 523 of the family's 1533-position model. The record is from RNAcentral.